This 329-nucleotide ribosomal RNA is filed under the name uncultured eukaryote. RNAcentral describes it as "SSU rRNA". It matches the Rfam family "Eukaryotic small subunit ribosomal RNA", at positions 592 to 924 of the family's 1831-position model. The record is from RNAcentral.
CAAUAGCGUAUAUUAAAGUUGUUGUGGUUAAAAGCUCGUAGUUGGAUCUCGGCGGACUGAGGGCGGUUUGCUUGCUAGUAUUACUGCCCUAUAGUCCGUAGUUUUGCCAGAGGUUUCGAGGUGCUCUUAAUCGAGUGUCCCGGGAUGCUGGCAGGUUUACUUUGAAAAAUUAGAGUGCAUCAAAGCAGGCUAUUACGCCUGAAUAUUCGUGCAUGGAAUAAUAGAAUAGGAAGUCGUUUCUAUUUUGUUGGUUUUCGGAAAUCGACUUAAUGAUUAAUAGGGAUCAGUCGGGGCAUUUGUAUUCAAACGACAGAGGUGAAAUUCGUUGG